Long non-coding RNA from Anguilla rostrata (American eel), 990 nucleotides. RefSeq lists it as uncharacterized. The record is from RefSeq and is a predicted model, not a curated record. The transcript has 3 exons. NCBI's taxonomy places the organism in Eukaryota, Metazoa, Chordata, Actinopteri, Anguilliformes, Anguillidae.
AGCUUUUAUCCUCAUCUUAUCUAAAAAGACUUCUUUAAUGUAGUUGUGUUUAAAGAUUGAGAGAGUAUAUUCUUCCCUGGAAUUACACAAUAUAGUUUAUAUAUAAAUCAAUAUUGGAUGUAUGUAGGAGAUUUGGGGGAGAAUAUUUAUUAAAAAGAGAUGAUUGCUUGCUGCAAGCCACUUAAGGGCUGUGGAACAACGCUGUCUUCCCUCUGUUGACGUGACUUUUGCAGAGAUUUAUGAACUUAAAGAAGGCUCCUCGGUCAGACGUGUCCAGUUGGAGUUUGGCUGAAGAUGAACAGGUCAUGCAUACCACGGUGGAAGUCUAUCGUGUGCAAACACCUCUGUGCUUUACAUUCCACUGUCCUGUGUGCGGAAAAACAAGAACUGCGUCCUGUGAGUGCACUGGCCUCUCUCCAGAGAGAUAAAGAUCAGGUCAAGCACAAUCCAAAGUCCUCACACUAUAAACUACUGAUGUAUAGCAGCAUUCUUGCAGAGAAACAGCCAGAAGAACAUCUAUUGAGCUUUUUUUAAUGGCUUUUAUUGGCACCUUGAGGACUUAUGAGAGAAAAUACUGUACGUUUGUGCAGAAGGGACUGGUUGUACCACCUGAAAAUAUAUAAAUCAGCCUCUUAAGGGCGUAUGUCUUUUGUGCUCAAAAAACCACUUAGAUGCAUUGUAUGCUGUUUUGUGAAAACUAUUUUACAGAUUGUUUCCCCCCUUUUUUUAGUAAUUUAUCAUUGAUUUAUGUAAUUCUUUUACUUUGUCUUGUACUGGCCCAGAGAAUAUAAAUUAUGUCCGCAAUGAUUUAUGUGCUCAAAAUGCUUACUGUAGACCAUAUGGGCAUAGGAAGUCUGACGUAACACAGAGAAAAACCUUUACCCAUAUAUGGAUUUCCGGAUCAGAUGAAAAUUUCUCUACAGAGUACAUGAAUAGGAGUUUCAUGUAACCGCCCCUGUCACAGUCUGUGAUUCAAACUGGCUUUUAAAA